This 518-nucleotide ribosomal RNA is filed under the name uncultured bacterium. RNAcentral's name for it is "bacterial SSU rRNA". It matches the Rfam family "Archaeal small subunit ribosomal RNA", at positions 345 to 866 of the family's 1478-position model. The record is from RNAcentral.
AACCUCCGCAAUGUGAGAAAUCGCGACGGGGGGAUCCCAAGUGCCAUUCUUAACGGGAUGGCUUUUCAUUAGUGUAAAGAGCUUUUGGAAUAAGGGCUGGGCAAGACCGGUGCCAGCCGCCGCGGUAACACCGGCAGCUCUAGUGGUAGCAGUUUUUAUUGGGCCUAAAGCGUCCGUAGCCGGUUUAAUAAGUCUCUGGUGAAAUCCUGUAGCUUAACUGUGGGAAUUGCUGGAGAUACUAUUAGACUUGAGACCGGGAGAGGUUAGAGGUACUCCCAGGGUAGAGGUGAAAUUCUGUAAUCCUGGGAGGACCGCCUGUUGCGAAGGCGUCUAACUGGAACGGUUCUGACGGUGAGGGACGAAAGUUAGGGGCGCGAACCGGGAUUAGAUACCCGGGUAGUCCUAACUGUAAACGAUGCGGACUUGGUGUUGGGGUGGCUUUGAGCUGCUCCAGUGCCGAAGGGAAGCUGUUAAGUCCGCCGCCUGGAAGUACGGUCGCAGACUGAACUUAAGGAAUU